This is a long non-coding RNA of Mus musculus (house mouse), 343 nucleotides long. RefSeq annotates it as predicted gene, 53200. The transcript has 3 exons. Lineage: Eukaryota; Metazoa; Chordata; Mammalia; Rodentia; Muridae. The record is from RefSeq and is a predicted model, not a curated record.
UGUCCUGGAACUGACUCUGUAGACCAGGCUGGCUGUGAAUUCAGAAAUCCGCCUGCUUCUGUCUCCCAAGUACUGUGCAUCACCAAGCCCAGCUUUAAAGACCCACAGACACACGGAAGCUCACCCACUGGAAGCCCACCACUACUGUCCCAGCUCUCCAUCCAUCUUCCUGUUUACAGCUAAAGUUCUCGGUUUCUCUGAAGAUGCUAUGGUAGGUGGCGCACAGAGCUGAACAGGCUGACAAUCAACACCCCAUUCUAUCCGCUCCGGGUCUCCCUGACAACCUAGUAAGUUGUCCAAGAAAACCUUGAAUUUGUCAGUUCCCUUAACAGUGCAUGUCUUU